AGGAUGAACGCUGGCGGCGUGCUUAACACAUGCAAGUCGAACGAUGAAGCCGGAGCUUGCUCUGGUGGAUUAGUGGCGAACGGGUGAGUAACACGUGAGUAACCUGCCCUUGACUCUGGGAUAAGCACUGGAAACGGUGUCUAAUACCGGAUACGAACUUCGACGGCAUCGUCAGGAGUUGGAAAGAAUUUCGGUCAAGGAUGGACUCGCGGCCUAUCAGCUAGUUGGUGAGGUAACGGCCCACCAAGGCGACGACGGGUAGCCGGCCUGAGAGGGUGACCGGCCGACACUGGGACUGAGACACGGCCCAGACUCCUACGGGAGGCAGCAGUGGGAAUAUUGCACAAUGGGCGCAAGCCUGAUGCAGCAACGCUGCGUGAGGGACGACGGCCUUCGGUUGUAACCUCUUUAGUAGGAAGAAGCGAAAGUGACGGUACCUGACAGAAAAGCACCGGACUAACUACGUGCAGCAGCCGAC
Molecule: ribosomal RNA, 478 nt
Filed under: uncultured soil bacterium
Lineage: Bacteria
Description: bacterial SSU rRNA
Rfam family: Bacterial small subunit ribosomal RNA
Source: RNAcentral